Molecule: ribosomal RNA, 397 nt
Filed under: uncultured bacterium
Lineage: Bacteria
Description: partial 16S ribosomal RNA
Rfam family: Bacterial small subunit ribosomal RNA
Source: RNAcentral
AUACGUAGGGGGCGAGCGUUGUCCGGAAUGAUUGGGCGUAAAGGGCGCGUAGGCGGCCUGUUAAGUCUGGAGUGAAAGUCCUGUUUUCAAGAUGGGAAUUGCUUUGGAUACUGCUGGGCUUGAGUGCAGGAGAGGUUAUCGGAAUUCCCGGUGUAGCGGUGAAAUGCGUAGAGAUCGGGAGGAACACCAGUGGCGAAGGCGGGUAACUGGACUGCAACUGACGCUGAGACGCGAAAGUGUGGGGAGCAAACAGGAUUAGAUACCCUGGUAGUCCACACUGUAAACGAUGAAUGCUAGGUGUAAGAGGUAUCGACCCCUUUUGUGCCGGAGUUAACACAAUAAGCAUUCCGCCUGGGGAGUACGGCCGCAAGGUUGAAACUCAAAUGAAUUGACGGGG